UGUUAACACUGAGGCGUGAUGACGAUGUCGUAAGACUACAAAGUGGCUGGUUCCAUGCUUCCAGGAAAAUCCUCGUAUCUAGUUAUGAAUGUGACCGUACCGCAAACCGACACAGGUAGGCAGGUAGAAGAUACUAAGGCGCUUGAGAGAACUCUGGUUAAGGAACUCGGCAAAAUAGCACCGUAACUUCGGGAGAAGGUGUGCCUGCAAGGUGUAGUAAUUUACUUAUGAAGCCUACGCAGGUUGCAGUGAAAUGGGGGGAGCGACUGUUUACUAAAAACAUAGGACUCUGCGAAGUCGAAAGACGAUGUAUAGGGUCUGACGCCUGCCCGGUGCCGGAAGGUUAAGGGGACAUGUCAGCGCAAGCGAAGCAUUGAACCGAAGCCCCGGUAAACGGCGGCCGUAACUAUAACGGUCCUAAGGUAGCGAAAUUCCUUGUCGGGUAAGUUCCGACCUGCACGAAUGGCGUAACGAUUUCCCCACUGUCUCAACCAGGGACUCAGCGAAACUGAAGCACCGGUGAAGAUGCCGGUUACCCGCAACUAGACAGAAAGACCCCGUGAACCUUUACUAUAGCUUGGCAUUGUUUUUUGAGGUAACAUGUGUAGGAUAGGUGGGAGACUUUGAAGUCGGUACGCUAGUAUCGAUGGAGUCAACCUUGAAAUACCACCCUUGUUAUCUUAGAAAUCUAACUGCGGUCCGUGAUCCGGAUCCAGGACAUUGUCUGGUGGGUAGUUUGACUGGGGCGGUCGCCUCCCAAAUUGUAACGGAGGCGCGCGAUGGUUCCCUCAGGCUGAUUGGAAACCAGCCGUAGAGUGUAAAGGCAUAAGGGAGCUUGACUGCGAGAGAGACAUCUCGAGCAGGUACGAAAGUAGGUCUUAGUGAUCCGGCGAUUCCGCAUGGAAGGGUCGUCGCUCAACGGAUAAAAGGUACUCCGGGGAUAACAGUCUUAUCUCCCCCAAGAGUCCAUAUCGACGGGGAGGUUUGGCACCUCGAUGUCGGCUCAUCACAUCCUGGGGCUGUAGCAGGUCCCAAGGGUUUGGCUGUUCGCCAAUUAAAGUGGUACGUGAGCUGGGUUUAAAACGUCGUGAGACAGUUUGGUCCUUAUCUGUUGCGGGCGCAGGAUAUUUGAGGAGAUCUUUCCCUAGUACGAGAGGACCGGGAUGGACGAACCUAUGGUGUACCAGUUGUUCCGCCAGGAGCAUCGCUGGGUAGCUAUGUUCGGCAGGGAUAACCGCUGAAAGCAUCUAAGCGGGAAGCCUACUUCAAGAUAAGAUAUCCCAUGGUGUAAAGCCACCUGAAGGCUCGUGGUAGACCACCACGUCGAUAGGUCGGGUGUGGAAGUGCAGUAAUGCAUGCAGCUUACCGAUACUAAUCAGCCGUGCGGCUUAUCCAU
This 1396-nucleotide ribosomal RNA is filed under the name metagenome. Its description in RNAcentral is "bacterial LSU rRNA". It matches the Rfam family "Bacterial large subunit ribosomal RNA", at positions 1548 to 2925 of the family's 2925-position model. The record is from RNAcentral.